Molecule: transfer RNA, 57 nt
Filed under: Laqueus rubellus
Lineage: Eukaryota; Metazoa; Brachiopoda; Rhynchonellata; Terebratulida; Laqueidae
Also listed under: 1 other name
Description: tRNA-Thr
Source: RNAcentral
GGUUAGGAAGCUACUAGCAAGUGGUCUUGUAAGCCAUAGAGGGGAGACCCCUAAUCU